Non-coding RNA from Xenopus laevis (African clawed frog), 108 nucleotides. The record is from Rfam. Lineage: Eukaryota; Metazoa; Chordata; Amphibia; Anura; Pipidae.
GCCUUGGGAUGAUGACAGAAAGGCCGAAUUGCAGCGCUUGGCAGCACGUUCUCUCUACAGAAGCGCAGUGACAAAGCCCCUCGAAGCGAAAACAAAGCUGACCAAUGC